Molecule: microRNA precursor, 76 nt
Filed under: Oryza sativa (Asian cultivated rice)
Lineage: Eukaryota; Viridiplantae; Streptophyta; Magnoliopsida; Poales; Poaceae
Description: miR5159 stem-loop (osa-MIR5159)
Source: miRBase by way of RNAcentral
UGUACCUGUUGACUGACUCUGGUUCAACAAAACCAAUUUUACUUUUGUUGAACUAGAGUGGGUCAACGGGUACCCA